CUGGCUUUGUACCUCUGUGGUCUCUGGUCCUGUGGCAAUCAGAUAAUCAUUAAGAUAAUGAUAGAAUAUUUUGUGAUAAAUGUAUUUUACAGAUAAAAAGACAUGAAGCUCAGAGAGUUCACAAAGCUGGAAAUGAAAACAAAGAUCCCAGACCUAUUCGGUUCAUGUCUCCCUAUUAAUUAGAAAGAGAACUGGGGGGGGGGGGGGGAAAUGCUGCCUUUCCCAAGAUAUCUGUGGCAAUUUUGAGAGAAGAAUACAGAGAGGUCCCUUUGUGUCUCAUUUCAUCCGUACAUGUGAUCCUCUGACACUGAGGAAUGUGACCUGUGUUUCCUAACAGUGCCUCAUAUGUUCACACUUAAAGCUGGAAUGUAUUUCAGUCUUUCUCACAUGUAUGUGGUUUUCAGCAAACACCCAAGAACUUGUUAGUGGCUGGUGGAAUAGUUCCAAGCUGACAUUAGCUUAAGUACUUUUAGGGAUAACUUCUGUGUUCCUAGCUAUAACAGCUUACCUCUGGGAGUUUAAACCACAGAGUUUUUAUGCUUUAAGGGAGGUAAAGGGCUCCGACUGCGUAAAUGUGAGUGAUGUAGAAAGCUCAGCUCUCAGCCACUUGCAAGGGAAAUCCAAAGCUUGAAAAGAGUUGGAGGUCCAUUCAUGUAACUAUCUGGUACCUCUCUGGUUCCUGUAUUUUUAAUCCUCUGUGGGGUCAUCUCUUGCAAGGUCCUUCACAGUUUGCUCUGAAUUACUUCUCCAUCUUCACCUGAACCAGUUUCCUUCCAAGGAACCUUAUCUUUAAUUCCCAUCAAAUAUUCCCUAACAUGGCAUUCACCAAGUUAUGAAAGUUCCAGAGCUGACUAAAUUUAAGAAAUAUGACAUCUCUCCCUUGAAUGAUCAGAUGUAUAUCGGUGUCCAGAAGAAAUAGCCAGGAGCCUCUUAAUGUUGCAACUUUGAAUAUAAAUUCCUGUUACAAAGGCCCUGGUGAGACACCCAAGGACAAAGAUCUAGUCCUUUGAAAGUUCAAAUAAAAAAAAAAAUUGUAGCCCAGGAUUAAUCCUCCUUCUCUCUUUCUUAUUCCUUCCAGCCUAAGAUCCAGGAUCUCCUUAGGACUGGGGCAGGGACUCCUCCCAGGAGCUAGAAGCUCUAGUUGACAGACUGAGGGCUGCCGACUUAAAAAAAAUACACAACCUGAAAGUUGAGAGUUAAGUUUUACUGGGGGCAAAUUAGGACUUAAAUCCGGGAGAGAGCUUCUCUGAGCAGCAAGCUAGGAUACACAGGAGAUUUGCAACAAAGGGAAGGUAGUAGGAAUCAAAGAGGUCUGGGCUCACUGAAAUCAUUCCUUUGACUUGUACCUCGGCUAUCAGGGCCAUAUCCUGAGUUUUCACAACCUGAGCUUCCUCAGGGCUCCCUGUUAAGACUGGCUACGGUCUGAUGGCUGCUAGAUAGCAGGUAUUCUUUGUUUCCUUUCUGAGUUCCCUCAGGACUCAUGGGCUCAUCUUUGGAGGGGUCUGUAUUUGCAGUUGACUGUGUGACAUCCUUUGUUUUGCCAACUUAACUAUAGCCUGGUGGCAGUGUAUCAGAUGGCUGAAUAUCAGAUGGCUGAAAUGCCGCCCGAAAGAGGCAGGGGAAAAUAAUAUCUGUGUAUGUGUUAAAGGGGAAGGGAGGGCUGCCUGCAGCCAAGCACAAAAAUUUUACAAACGUUUGCUGCUGGACUCCUGAAUAUCUCUACUAGUCAUGGGAGCAGACAUCACCAUGAAGGAUUUUAGCGUUUUUCUAGAUAUGAGGAGAUGCAGGAAUUGGGCACAUAAAAUUUUCUCCUAAAAAUAUCUAUCUGAAGACCUGUUCAUCCAGUUUUCCCAGAGCAUGGAGUGCCUCACUCCUAAUCUCCACCCUGAGCUCUGCUCUGGGGAUGCUGCAGGUCGGCAGCUGCAGUGGCUCGGGAUUUAAUCCAUGUAGAGGAUGCUAAGUGCCAAACUCUGGUUCUCAGGGCCGACCCUAACUCUGGGCUAACUUCUGCAAGUCCAUCAACAGCAAGGCCCAUCUCUUGGGGCCUCAGGGGGUGUCCUCAUCUAUGAUUACCCCUGCCCUGACCUCUGUCUUAAAACAUGUGGAAACAGAACAAACACCCACUUCCACUGAGUAGUUAUCCAAAGCCAACAGAUGUUAACAGGAUGGUGGUACUUAUUGAUGUCAAAGACCUGGUGCUUAAUCUGGUCAGAGACACUGCCAGGACUCUGAAGAAGGAGACGGGGUCUGAGUUUUCCCCAUAAGCAUCCCUGCAGCCUAAGGCCAGUUGCUCCGAGUCAUGAGCGGACCCCUGGAUCCAGGCACCCAUUCUUCUUCAGAAAGCAUUUUCAGGAUGGUUUUUCUCAGACCUCCCACUCUAAUGCUCAUGGCAAAUCAAAUAACCACUGACUCUUCAGGUUUUCCUAUUGAUUUUCCUGGUAAAACACUGUUGAAUCUGUCCAACUUUUCUGAAACCACUUUGUAAAACUCUCACAUUAUCACAACACUCUGCCUUCGACCAGAUUUCCCUUUCCAGCUGCACUUGAAGGAGGCACAAAUCAAUAGUUUUACAAAUCAAUACUGUCCUGGAUCCUGGCUCCCUCGGACAGUCACACCUGCCUAGUUAGUGAGAAUUUCCCUUUUUCCUUGUUAAAAUUUCAUGGUUCCAUUUGCAGCAACCAGAAUGGACCUAGAGAUUACCAAAACAAAUGAAAUAAAUCAGACAGGGAAAGACAAAUAUCAUAUGAUAUCACUUAUUGUGGAAUCUAAUUAAAAAAUGGUACAAAUGGGAGUCCCCUUCGUGGUCAUCGAUUAAUGAACCUGACUAGCAUCCAUGAGGAUGUGGGUUUGAUCCCUGGCCCCACUCAGUGGGUUAAAGAUCCGGCGUUGCUGUGAGCUGUGGUGUAGGUCUCAGACGUGGCCUGGCUCCCAAGGUGCUGUGGCUGUGGUGUUGGCAGGCAACUGUAGCUCUGAUUCAACCCCUAGCCUGGGAACCUCCAUACACCUCGGAUGCAGCCCUAAAAGGACAAAAGACCAAAAAAAUUUUUUUAAUGGUACAAAUGAACUUAUUUACAAAACAGAAACAGACUCGCAGACUUUGAAAGCAAAUUUAUGCUUACCAAUGGAGGAAGUGGGAAGCGAUAAAUUAGGAGCUUGGGAUUAAUAUACACACCCUAUUAUGUAUAAAAUAGGUAAGCAUCAAGGAUCUACUUAUAGGACAGGGAACUCUACUCAGUAUUUUGUAAUAACUGACAAGGGGAAAAGAAUCUGAAAAGAAUGGAUAUAGGUAUAUGUGUAACUGAAUUGCUGAGCUGAACACUUGAAACUAACACAACAUUGUAAAUCAAUCUAAUUACAAAAAACAAACAAACAAACAAAUCCUUCUUGGUUCCCACCACUCUGCGUGGCCACUACAGCACAUGCUCCUCUCUGCUGUUUCACCAAGAGAAAGCAGACCCCAGCGGAGUCAUUUUCCCUCUGCCACCACCCAAGUCUUGCCUUAGAAUCUAGAUUUUUCUGUAUCUUCCCAGCUGUUUGCUUAUGCAUCAUCCUUUUUCUCAAAUAGGACCUUCUUUUCCUUGUGUCAUCAUCUGGUUUCUCUAUUCUGUUUUCAUUCCCCUCCUCUUCCUGUUUUGCUGGUGAAACAGAAAACCCUUUUUCAGACCCCUUUGUUUUACCUGCAUCUCUGGAUAACUCAGUCCCUGGAGGCAGAGGUUUCUAGGUAGAGACCUUUCAUCAGCUCCUUAGCUUUGGGUUUGAAAUUUCAUUGAGUUGGUUUUCUAACUGCAUUCAUUUCCCAGAGCUGCAAAAACAGAAAUUCGGUGGCUAGAAGAAUGGAGGUCACAGUUCUGGAGGUCAGAAGUCCAAAAUCCAGGUGUCAGCCGGGCUGGUUAACCCCUGAAGUUUCCAGGGAGGAUCGCUCCAUGCUUCGCGGCUUCUGUUCUCCCGUGUCCUUGGCUUGUGACCGGGAGUUCCAGUCUCUGCCUCCAUCUCCAGGGCCCUCUCCUCCUUCUGUUUGUAUCUCUGUCCUCACUUCCUUUUAUCAAAGGAUCUAGGGCCACGUGAAUGAAUGGAGGAUGGUUUCGUUUGAGAUCCUUCACCGAUUACAUCUGCCAAGAACUUAUUUCCAAAUUAGGGCAGGUUCUGAGGUUCCAGAUGGAGAAACUUUUGGGGGGUGACAUCAUGCACCCAGUACCAUUCAAUUCAACAAGUUGACCCACUUUCUUCUUUCCUCCAUCCUUUCGUUACUUUCAGUACAUUUACAAUUUGUCUUUAUGCAAACCAUGCAGAAUCUGAAUCCGAGCAAUCUAAGGUUAUGGUCACAGUGUAUGUAACUAACAACUCCAGAACUCAUUUGAACAUUGUCUUGGGGCUGGCUUUGGGGACUACAAAUAGACACAUGAAUUCAAGGAGACAACCUCUGUGGUUUCUUUCCUGGUUUAUGAAGGAAAUUCAAAAACAAAAUAAAAGAGGAGUAAAAUUCAAUGAGCUGAAAUAACAGUGCUGGCUCCAAAUCUUUGAAGGUCUUAUUUCACGGCUGCUUACUAGCACACUUUGAAUGCAGAAGUCUCUGCUAUUUAAAGCUCAGAACUAGGAAGUUAUGAAAGUUUAAGUCUUUUCAAUCAGGAGAUCUAUCUCAGUCACAUAGUAAAAGCAGAACAUAAUUAUUCUUCUUUUCAGGGUUCUAAGGUCCACAUGUGGAAAGUCUAGUAUUUUUCUUUGAACAGGUUCUAUCUCUACUGCCCUCCUGCUCGAGGUCUUUACUUCCCUGUUUUCCAGGAGAAUGAACCGCUUAUGUGCACAGAGAAGCAGUCUUGCUGAAUUGGUUGGUCAUAUCAUAACACUAAUGCAUCCUUUGGGCCCUGAGCAAGUUUGAGGAUUAAUGUGGUGAACUGAGUCAUUUGCCAGGACCAACAAAAUGACAGACGCUGUCUGAAUGGAAUGGAAUCCUUCAUGUUUUGACGCUAGAAUGUCAUCUUUUCUAAGACUUUCUUAUACACAAAUGAGUUAUUUUUCCUGAAAAAAAAUAAAAGCUCAAAUGAACACUUUAAAAUGCUUCAUCAGUGUUUUAGGACUUCUCAACCUAAAUUAUGAAAGAGGGCAAAGGAGAGUAAUUCAGUGGUGUUCCAAUUACUUAACACAAGCGAAUCAUAGAACAAAGUUCUAACUUAUUAAUAUUUCCCUAUCUGCUCAGAGAACUCACCCAAACUCUUGUUUAGGGCUGCAUAGUAUUUCUCCUAUGGAUGCACCACAGUUUAAUCCAUCAUUCUGCUAUAUAUGGGUGUUCAAGUUGCUUCCAGUAUUUUGCACUUAUAAUUCUGCAUUGCUUAACCUUUGCACAGGCAUUUUUGUAUUGUUAAAGUACUUCAGGGUAAAUUCCUAAAAGUGGAAAUGUUGAGAUGAAAGGCAAAUAUACAUGCAAUCUUGUGGGAUAUUGUCAAAUUCCCUCUGGAGGGUUGUGCUGAUUUGCAUUCCGACCAGAAGUGUGUGUGCUUUCAUCUUUGCUAAGAGAAUACACAGUCAUAUUUGGUCUUAGUGUUUACCAGUCUGAUAAGUGAGAAAUGGUAUCUCUGCUGUUUUGACGUGUAGUCCUCAAGUUAUACAUGAACAGAUAUUCCACUUCACUCAUGAUCUUUCAGCAUCUUGGGUUUUUCUUCUCCUUCCUGAUAGUGCUAAGGUAUGAAAUUGGCAUGUCUUUCUACAAUUACAUGACUCAAAUCUUUUCAGAAGGGCCCUCACUUGUUCUAAUAAAGCAUCAUAGCUCCGAGUGCAACUUGCCCUUUCUCACCAGUUACAUCAUAACAGGAAGUGCCCCUGAACAGGCACAAACUGUUUAAUCACACAGUUCAGGUUGUGAGGAUUUCAGCAAAUUCCUCAUGGAAAAAGCAAUGAGAGUUUAUCAAACCAAAUGCACAUUUCGGAAUUAACUUCUUAAAAAUAUAUGAUGUGAAUUUAUCUAGGAAAAAGAGUCUGUAAUCACUCUCAACAACAGACUUGGAAAGAAACCCUCUGAAGAUAAUGACAAAGAAUUUUACUUAGCUAUUGUAUUGGUUUGAUAUUUGUAGGUUGUAUGGAAUUGGGAGAAGGAAGGGAGGGAGAGAGCAGACCAACUCUGAGGGAGACAGUGUUAUCAAAUGAUGUGGCAAAUCCAUAAGAAUGACGAGUGAGGAAACUGUAUGAAAAGCGAGUGAAUAAGAAUAUAAUUUUUGUAUCAGACUCUCUCAGGCUAGUAAAUGAGCAUAGCCCUGCAGUUUUAAUCUGCAUGCAAAUAAUGCCAACUGAUGAGCUUUGUUGUUAUUGUCCCCUGUAAUUUCUGAAGGAAUGACUAAGGAGAAAAGCACAGAUAACAAACAACUCAAAAACAAAAGAGGAUA
Molecule: long non-coding RNA, 6374 nt
Filed under: Sus scrofa (pig)
Lineage: Eukaryota; Metazoa; Chordata; Mammalia; Artiodactyla; Suidae
Description: lncRNA (ENSSSCG00000056324.1)
Source: RNAcentral